Piliocolobus tephrosceles (Ugandan red Colobus) is the source of this 849-nucleotide long non-coding RNA. RefSeq lists it as uncharacterized. The transcript is spliced from 5 exons. NCBI's taxonomy places the organism in Eukaryota, Metazoa, Chordata, Mammalia, Primates, Cercopithecidae. The record is from RefSeq and is a predicted model, not a curated record.
UUUUCUGAGUCCUCGGCCUUCCCCGUGACUCUUUAGGUCUUAAUAGUAACAGAAUGUAACCCAGCAACACCUAUCACUUCCCUGUCCAUUCAUUCUCCAUAACUUUUCUGCUUCCCCUCUGCCCCCAACCCCCACCCCAGCUCCGUGUUGUGGUCUCCAGUUUCCUACGGCAGAGUGGUCGGCAUGUGAGCCACCUGGACUUCAUUCAUCUGACAGCGCUGGGUUAUACGCUCUGUGGACUGCGGCCAGAGGAGCUCCAGCACAUCAGCAGCUGGGAGUUUAGCCAAGCAGCUCUCUUCCUGGGCAGCCUGCAUCUCCAGUGCUCUGAAGAACAACUGGAGGUUCUGGCCCACCUCCUUGUACUGCCUGGUGGCUUUGGCCCAAUCAGUAACUGGGGGCCUGAGAUCUUCACUGAAAUUGGCACCAUAGCAGCUGGGAUCCCAGACCUGGCUCUUUCAGCACUGCUGCAGGGACAGAUCCAGGGCCUUACUCCUCUUGCCAUUUCUGUCAUCCCUCCUCCUAAAUUUGCUGUGGUGUUUAGUCCCACCCAACUAUCUAGUCUCACCAGUGCUCAGGCUGUGGCUGUCACUCCUGAGCAAAUGGCCUUUCUGAGUCCUGAGCAGCGACGAGCAGUUGCAUGGGCCCAGCAUGAGGGGAAGGAGAGCCCGGAACAGCAAGGUCGAAGUACAGCCUGGGGCCUCCAGGACUGGUCACGACCUUCCUGGUCCCUGGUAUUGACUAUCAGCUUCCUUGGCCACCUGCUCUGAGCCUGUCUCUACAGUAGAAGGAGAUUGUGGGGAGAGAAAUCUUAAGUCAUAAUGAAUAAAGUGCAAACAGAAGUGCAUCCUG